UGGGGAAUAUUGGACAAUGGGCGCAAGCCUGAUCCAGCAAUGCCGCGUGAGUGAUGAAGGCCUCGGGUCGUAAAGCUCUUUUACCAGGGAUGAUAAUGACAGUACCUGGAGAAUAAGCUCCGGCUAACUCCGUGCC
This 136-nucleotide ribosomal RNA is filed under the name uncultured bacterium. RNAcentral describes it as "partial 16S ribosomal RNA". It matches the Rfam family "Bacterial small subunit ribosomal RNA", at positions 355 to 509 of the family's 1533-position model. The record is from RNAcentral.